AGCUGCCCUGGCAAACAGGAUUUUCACGCCUUUGCACUCAAAACGCCUUUCAUUGGUAUUCAGAAAGUUCUACUUUCCACCCAGCUGAGAUAAGGAGCACAGGAUUCUGGCAGCACCUACUGAUGCCCGCUGUGUGUCAGGUCCUGUGCUAUUUCUGAGAAAGCAGAGAUAAGCAAGUCAUCAUUCCUGCUUCAAGGAGUUCACAGCUCGUAUGCGACUUUCUCCUCCCUGGGCCUCAGUUUCCUUAUCUGUAUGGAGAGGAAGUUGGAGUUGAAGUUCUUAGAGGGCUCUUCCAAGUUACUUUGGAGUUGAUUUCCAAAUGGGAGUGAAGGAAACAAAGACAAAGACAAGCAGGUCACAUCCCUGACCUCAAGAAAUUUGCCAUCUAGC
Choloepus didactylus (southern two-toed sloth) is the source of this 390-nucleotide long non-coding RNA. RefSeq lists it as uncharacterized. The record is from RefSeq and is a predicted model, not a curated record. The transcript is spliced from 3 exons. Lineage: Eukaryota; Metazoa; Chordata; Mammalia; Pilosa; Megalonychidae.